Molecule: ribosomal RNA, 465 nt
Filed under: uncultured bacterium
Lineage: Bacteria
Description: bacterial SSU rRNA
Rfam family: Bacterial small subunit ribosomal RNA
Source: RNAcentral
ACCAGACUCCUACGGGAGGCAGCAGUGAGGAAUAUUGGUCAAUGGGCGGAAGCCUGAACCAGCCAAGUCGCGUGAGGGAAUAAGGCCCUACGGGUCGUAAACCUCUUUUGCCGGGGAGCAAGGGCGGGGACGUGUCCCGGCCCGGAGAGUACCCGGAGAAAAAGCAUCGGCUAACUCCGUGCCAGCAGCCGCGGUAAUACGGAGGAUGCGAGCGUUAUCCGGAUUUAUUGGGUUUAAAGGGUGCGUAGGCGGGAUGCUAAGUCAGCGGUAAAAUUGCGGUGCUCAACGCCGUAGAGCCGUUGAAACUGGCGUUCUUGAGUGGGCGAGAAGUAUGCGGAAUGCGCGGUGUAGCGGUGAAAUGCAUAGAUAUCGCGCAGAACUCCGAUUGCGAAGGCAGCGUACCGGCGCCAGACUGACGCUGAGGCACGAAAGCGUGGGGAUCGAACAGGAUUAGAUACCCGAGUA